RNAcentral lists this ribosomal RNA (200 nucleotides) under uncultured bacterium. RNAcentral describes it as "partial 16S ribosomal RNA". It matches the Rfam family "Bacterial small subunit ribosomal RNA", at positions 29 to 203 of the family's 1533-position model. The record is from RNAcentral.
AACGAACGCUGGCGGCGUGGCUAAGGCAUGCAAGUCGAACGCGAUUAGUCAACGGGUAACUGGAGACUAGUUGAGUGGCGAACGGGUGAGGAAUACAUGGGUAACGUACCUCGACACAGGGAUAACGGCGGGCUUCGGCUCCUUUGCGAAAGUGCCGCUAAUACCUGAUGAUCCAGCGUGGUCUCCUGAUCAUGCUGGAC